AAGUUUGACCACCCGCCUCUCCUCAAGUGUUGUCUGACCCUCAUAAUAUGGUGCCUCUAUACGCCAGGUUGUGAUGUAAAAGUCUCAAGACUAAAGCUGAAGUCUCUGCGAACUGCAAGUUCAGCAUUGUACAUUGGGGGAUCUUGCGGUGUUCAUCUAUGGUAGACACGCUGUCCAACUCAAGUUUGACCCGGAGGCAGUCGGGGCCCACAAAGAUGUGGAAUCAAAACCACAACUGGAUAACACCAAGCUUGAUGCUAUAUUUGACCAUGCCCAGGUGAAAUCUCCUGACACCCACCAUGCAAGAUGUGAGACGAAUCAUAAGAAAGAAAUGCAACAACAUAAGCUACACCAACAAGUAAAUGUAAAGAAGUCAUAAAAGCACAGAUUUUGU
Long non-coding RNA from Archocentrus centrarchus (flier cichlid), 394 nucleotides. RefSeq lists it as uncharacterized. The transcript has 3 exons. Lineage: Eukaryota; Metazoa; Chordata; Actinopteri; Cichliformes; Cichlidae. The record is from RefSeq and is a predicted model, not a curated record.